GACGAACGCUGGCGGCGUGCUUAACACAUGCAAGUCGAACGGUAAGGCCCUUCGGGGUACACGAGUGGCGAACGGGUGAGUAACACGUGGGUGAUCUGCCCUGCACUUCGGGAUAAGCCUGGGAAACUGGGUCUAAUACCGGAUAUGACUCCUGGCUUCAUGGUUGGGGGUGGAAAGCUUUUGCGGUGUGGGAUGGGGCCGCGGCCUAUCAGCUUGUUGGUGGGGUAAUGGCCUACCAAGGCGACGACGGGUAGCCGGCCUGAGAGGGUGACCGGUCACACUGGGACUGAGAUACGGCCCAGACUCCUACGGGAGGCAGCAGUGGGGAAUAUUGCACAAUGGGCGCAAGCCUGAUGCAGCGACGCCGCGUGAGGGAUGACGGCCUUCGGGUUGUAAACCUCUUUCAGCUACGACGAAGCGCAAGUGACGGUAGUAGCAGAAGAAGGACCGGCCAACUACGUGCCAGCCGCCGCCGUAA
This 478-nucleotide ribosomal RNA is filed under the name uncultured bacterium. Its description in RNAcentral is "partial 16S ribosomal RNA". It matches the Rfam family "Bacterial small subunit ribosomal RNA", at positions 28 to 523 of the family's 1533-position model. The record is from RNAcentral.